AACCAAUUCCUCCAUGAAUCAGCAUCCUCCUUUUAUCCAUGCUACAUGCAGCAUGAGCGCCUCUUGGUGGAGGCAUAACGGAACCAACGUCAAGUAGUCUCCAGGAUAAUGUGAUACCAAAUGCAUCAUGUACCGCUACUUGGCCAAUCCAUGUAUCAUUUUGGCGGGCCCCAUGAUCAUUUAUUCCUCCAAAAAGCACUAGAGAAUCGCCAAUCACGACACAUGAAUGCCCAAAGCGGCCACUUGGUACCCCUGAUCCAAUCUUAUUCCAUUUCAAUAUUCUCUUGAAGUCAUUGCCAACAUAUGCUACCCAUGUAUCGUCCAGAUGCCUUCCUCCCUCGCAGCCGCCGCCGAAGAGAACUAGACUACCAGAAACAAAAUUGAGAGAAUGAGAAGCUCUGGGUCGAGGAAGAAUCAGCUCUUCUCCUCCUAGUGGAUGCGUCAACAGUCUGCGACAGUAAACAGAGUCCAAUUGGUAGAUUUGCUGGUAGAGCUUCUUCCAAGGAAAUUGUUGCUGUUUAUCGUCAACAGCAAAGGAUCUGAGUGCAUCAAUGGUGGAGUUUCCCCAAUCUCUUCGGCAGAGUGAUUCCCAUAAAGAGUCUGAGUAAGUGAGGGACCUGAACUUCUUACAAGUUAGAGCAAAG
RNAcentral lists this unclassified non-coding RNA (644 nucleotides) under Hevea brasiliensis (rubber tree). The record is from RNAcentral. Lineage: Eukaryota; Viridiplantae; Streptophyta; Magnoliopsida; Malpighiales; Euphorbiaceae.